This 311-nucleotide long non-coding RNA is filed under the name Mytilus galloprovincialis (Mediterranean mussel). The record is from RNAcentral. Lineage: Eukaryota; Metazoa; Mollusca; Bivalvia; Mytilida; Mytilidae.
GGUUCUUUGAUUUGCCGAAUCUAACUGUGUAUGUAGAUUCUUAAUUUUUGGUCCCGUUUUCAAAUUGGUCUACAUUAAGGUCCAAAGGGUCCAAAAUUAAACUUAGUUUGAUUUUAACAAAAAUUGAAUCCUUGGGGCUCUUUGAUAUGCUGAAUCUAAAAAUGUACUUAGAUUUUUUAUUAUUGGCCCAGUUUUCAAGUUGGUCCAAAUCGGGGUCCAAAAUUAAACUUUGUUUGAUUUCAUCAAAAAUUGAAAAAUUGGGGUUCUUUGAUAUGCCAAAUCUUACUGUGUAUGUAGAUUCUUAAUUUUUG